AGAACGAACGCUGGCGGCAGGCCUCAAACAUGCAAGUCUAGGGGGGCGUAGCAAUACGUCACCGGCGGACGGGUGCGUAACACGUGGGAAUGUACUUAUUGGUUCGGAACAACUCAGGGAAACUUGAGCUAAUACCGAAUGUGCCCGAAAGGGGAAAGAUUUAUCGCCAAUAAAUCAGCCCGCGUCCGAUUAGCUAGUUGGUGAGGUAAAGGCUCACCAAGGCGACGAUCGGUAGCUGUUCUGAGAGGAAGAUCAGCCACACUGGGACUGAGACACGGCCCAGACUCCUACGGGAGGCAGCAGUUGGGAAUCUUGGACAAUGGGGGAAACCCUGAUCCAGCCAUGCCGCGUGAGUGAUGAAGGCCUUCGGGUUGUAAACUCUUUCGACGGGGACGAUAAUGACGGUACCCGUAGAAGAAGCUCCGGCUAACUUCGCGCCAGCAGCCGC
RNAcentral lists this ribosomal RNA (448 nucleotides) under uncultured bacterium. RNAcentral describes it as "SSU rRNA". It matches the Rfam family "Bacterial small subunit ribosomal RNA", at positions 26 to 518 of the family's 1533-position model. The record is from RNAcentral.